GCAGAGCACUCCUCGGGAGGCAGCAGUGGGGAAUAUUGCACAAUGGGCGCAAGCCUGAUGCAGCCAUGCCGCGUGUAUGAAGAAGGCCUUCGGGUGUAAAGUACUUUCAGCAGUGAGGAAGGUGGGUAUGUUAAUAGCAUAUUCAUUUGACGUUAGCUGCAGAAGAAGCACCGGCUAACUCCGUGCCAGCAGCCGCGGUAAUACGGGAGGGUGCGAGCGUUAAUCGGAAUUACUGGGCGUAAAGCGCAUGCAGGUGGUUUGUUAAGUCAGAUGUGAAAGCCCGGGGCUCAACCUCGGAAUUGCAUUUGAAACUGGCAAACUAGAGUACUGUAGAGGGGGUAGAAUUUCAGGUGUAGCGGUGAAAUGCGUAGAGAUCUGAAGGAAUACCGGUGGCGAAGGCGGCCCCCUGGACAGAUACUGACACUCAGAUGCGAAAGCGUGGGGAGCAAACAGGAUUAGAUACCCUGGUAG
RNAcentral lists this ribosomal RNA (471 nucleotides) under uncultured bacterium. Its description in RNAcentral is "bacterial SSU rRNA". It matches the Rfam family "Bacterial small subunit ribosomal RNA", at positions 328 to 793 of the family's 1533-position model. The record is from RNAcentral.